AUAUUUAAAGAGUCAUCGUAAAAAUAUCUAUAAUACGAAAUUUUAUAUACGAAAAUAUAUUAUUUUUUUAUCGACAUAUAAAAAUAACAACAUUCAAAUUUCGUAAAAACUUCAAUUCAAUUGCUCGAGUUGCAAAAUCGUUAUUACUUGUAGUUUCAUUUAUAGGUUAUGCAUAAUUUGUAAGCAUAAAUGUUUAUUGUUUUAGUCGGCUUUUCAACAAAUUUUCAUCAAAAUAUUAUUCAUUUUCGAUUUAUAUUUCCUUACGACCUCUUUUCGUUCGACUGAAUCGGUAUCCGUUUUCAAAAUUUUCCACCAAGUUUCUUCGUAUUUUUAGUUAUAAAUACAGAUAGAAGAAGUCGCAGCUCGAGUGAGAUUAUACUCUAAAUUUUCAUUAGACAGGAUCAUUAAUCGUGGUCAUUUUGUUCGGUGUGUAUAUGUGCAUGUGUGGCGAAAUAUACAUGUAAACUUCGUUCUUUCGUAAAAUCAGUUAUAGAAAAGAAAACAGAAUAAAGAAAGAGAAAGAUAAGAAGAGGAGACGUCGCGGCGCCUAUCCAGCAUGCGAACGACGCCGUCUAGCUCAAUUUUGAAUUUAACAAUUACCAUGAGAUCUGGCUCAGAAUUUUUUCACUAAACUUUUUAAAAUAUCCUCAAAUAACCUAAAAAAUUGUACAAUGUAUGCAUAUCCUAUAUCGUACAUACAUCAAAAUCAAACUAUAUAUAUAUAUAAAAUUGAAAAGAAGAGAAAUAUUUUUAAGCUAAGAGAAAGCUAAUUUUCACAGAUAAAAAAAGUUAAGUGCUAAUCCAGCAAGUUAAACUUGACAUACUUUCGAAAUAUGGCAUCCAAUGCAUUAAGAUCCAAAGAAUCUUGGGUGCGCAGUAAUGAAAGCAUAGGUUGGUGAGAAGUGUUAGAGCGUCAGGAUGUUCGGCGCCACAUUGCCGCGACCCAAAUAGUAAUAAUACUGUCGGCGAAGCUUCUGUCGAUGGAGACGCUGUUGCGAGUGAUGGAGGACGAGGAAGAAUGACCGUACACCACCUACAUUUGCCUCAAUCUUGGACUCUGCGUAUACAUUAUUAUUCGAGUAAAUUUUUACGAGUCCUUUGGAUCGACCACACGUCUCUUCUAUGGCCCUUGUUUAGAUUAUUCUAACCUAUCUUAUGGUUACACGAUGCGUGUACCUAUGCAGAAAUUUCAAGGAAGACCAUUAAGGGAAAGAGAAAGAAACUUUUCUCGUGUUGAUAAAUCAAGUUACGACACCCACGUAAUACUGGUUGGGAAAAAUUCGAGCAAGCAGAUAUAAUAAUAAGAACGAUGUACCGUUUCGUGUUUCAGACGAGAUCGAUUUUCCACGAAACGAAACGGACGAAACUUUUGCGACCAAUGUGAAAAACGAUUUUUCGAAUUAAUAAAAAAUAGAUAAUUGUGCAUUAUCAAGUAAUGAUUAACUAUGUCAAUGAAGCUCGUCAAUAUUUAUCUCAUGAUUAGAAUGAUUGCAUGGAGCUAAUUGUAUCAAUUACGUGCAAUUUUGUCGGCCGAGUUUAGAUCAGAUCCAAAAUGGCGAUUAGUUGUUUGGCUAUCGAGGAAUCCGCUUUCACGGAUAAACGCCGAAUUAAUUCACUGCUCUCUGUUUUCAUACGAUAGAUAUUAUUCGCUCGUAUCCUUUUAUUGUAAUAUGAAUUGGCCGAUUGCCAAAAACGAUUUUAUUACUUUUAUGUUCGGUGAAAAAUUGAUGGAAUAUUUCAUUUAGGUAUGAAAAUAAAAAUUUACUCGAAUAAGUAAUAGUUGCAGUUUCCACGAAUAAUUUAUCAUUUUUGAUGAACAAGUACAGUUUUACAAAG
This is a long non-coding RNA of Apis mellifera (honey bee), 1836 nucleotides long. RefSeq lists it as uncharacterized. Lineage: Eukaryota; Metazoa; Arthropoda; Insecta; Hymenoptera; Apidae. The transcript is spliced from 5 exons. The record is from RefSeq and is a predicted model, not a curated record.